UCUGAGUUUAAUCAAUAAAUAUCGACUCGAUAAGUUCUUAUCUGCGCAUGCAGCUACUGUACUCGUAAACAAUAAAACAGAUGUUUUUAUCCUUAUUGUUUUCAACACUUUAAAUAACCAAGUUUAUAAAGUUAUGUGAUUGACACCUUGUAAUUGGUCAUCCACAACUCAUAACUGCAGCAAGAUGGCAGAUAAUCGGCAUGAGAGAAGCAGG
Molecule: long non-coding RNA, 214 nt
Filed under: Mytilus galloprovincialis (Mediterranean mussel)
Lineage: Eukaryota; Metazoa; Mollusca; Bivalvia; Mytilida; Mytilidae
Source: RNAcentral